This is an RNA transcript of Capra hircus (goat), 1439 nucleotides long. It is a transcript of the gene named BOLA class I histocompatibility antigen, alpha chain BL3-7-like, with no coding region annotated. Lineage: Eukaryota; Metazoa; Chordata; Mammalia; Artiodactyla; Bovidae. The transcript has 4 exons. The record is from RefSeq and is a predicted model, not a curated record.
UCAGACCCUCCAAAGAUCCAUGUGACUCAUCACCCCAUCUCCCGGACCUUGAGGUCACCCUGAGGUGCUGGGCCCUGGGCUUCUACCCCUGAGAUUUCACUGACCUGGCAGCGUGAUGGGGAGGACCUGACCCAGGACUUGGAGCUUGUGGAGACCAGGCCUUCAGGAGAUGGAACCUUCCAGAAGUGGGCGGUCCUGGUGGUGCCUUUCUGGAGAGGAGCAGAGAUACACGUGCCGUGUGCAGCACGAGGGGCUUCAGGAGCCCCUCACCCUGAGAUGGGGACCUCCUCAGCCCUCCAUCCCCAUCAUGGGCAUCACUGUUGGCCUAGAUCUCCUCAUGGUGGCUGUGCAGUGACAGUGCCCAGGGCUGUGAUGUUACCUUUCACCAGUCCCUAAAGAACAUAAGUAAUCCCACAGAAGAUCAGCAUCAGACAAGGACAUCUGAGUGCAUGACACAGAGAGACAAAACAAGAACAGGACAGCAUUCUGUACCAGCACAGACCAACCAGGCAGCCCAGUGCCCCUCACCGUGGACCAGACCUCUCCCUGUGCUGACCCAGAGACCAUGCUUCCUCCCAGUCACAGCUGUAUCCUGGCUCUAGUCUGCCCUCCCUACAGCAGAGGCUCACUGAGAUGACCAGUCCCAUUAUUGCGCCCACUUCCUGACAACACCCAAUCUACAGUAAGCCAGUCUCACAUAGACGCGUCUCAAAAUCAAAGCCCACAUCCUCUAUAUCACCGGUCCUCAACGUUUUGGCACCAGGAACUGAUUUCAUGGAAGACAAUUUUUCCAUGGACCAGGGGUGGGAGGAAUGCUUUCAGGAUGAUUCAAGCACAGUAUAUUUUUUGUACACUUUAUUUCUAAUCUAAUGUUGGCACUGAUCUGACAGCAGCUACCAAUCCAAGGUCAGAGUUUGGGGACUCCUGGCUGUCUAUGUUCUAACACCUUACAAGGAUACUAUGGUCCCUCCUGCUGUGUAAUCUCUCUCGCUGUAUCCAGUAUAAAUCCAGCUUGGUUGCCUACAGGUUUGCUUCUGGUGGUCUUUGAUGGAAGAAUAUUGAGACAUGUCACCUGUUUGCCAGAAAUUUUUAUGUGUCUCCAUUGGAAUACUGGUGUAUGUUUGUUAUCUUGUGAGUGUCUGAUUGACAUAGGAAAGAUUUAUAUCCUUUGAUGCUUUAUAUGCUUUCAUCUUUGGGUCAUAAAACUCUUCUUUCCACAAGUGUAAAACAUUCAUGUAUAUUUUUGUCUAGGAGAGAGGGGUCUUCCAAGGGUGCAGAGAAAACAGAACUGAUGGAAUUUGGGAAGAAAGUAUAGCAGGAGCAGUAAGUAAAAAGUAGUAAGGUGCUAGAUUCUAAUGUUGCAUCUUCUGUUUCACAACUUUACAAGUAUAUACAAGUCCUACAAGUAUUGAUAUCUGUUGUGUUCAAUAAAUACUUCC